Molecule: long non-coding RNA, 1986 nt
Organism: Triticum dicoccoides
Lineage: Eukaryota; Viridiplantae; Streptophyta; Magnoliopsida; Poales; Poaceae
Exons: 3
Source: RefSeq, a predicted model, not a curated record
CCCGUCACGAUGCCUCCACGAUCCCUGGAUCCCCGCCGACCAAGCCACCGCGCCCCCCACCCCGCCGGCCCUGCGCCUCACCUUCCGGCCAGCCCCGCGCCAACGACCCCGCGCCUCCCCUCCCCGCCGGUCCCGCGUGCCUCCUGGAUCGUGUCGCCACCGGACACCCACGCCGCCGUCCUCUGCCCCAACCACUUCUGCCACUUACAUCUGCCCCGACCACUUCAGCCGCCGUCGUCCUCCCGCCGACCACCUCCACUACCGCUCUCCGCCCCGACCACCUCUGUCGCCGCCCUCAACCCUACCCACCUCCGUCCCAGCCCUGCGUCCCAGCCACCUCCGCCGCGCCUGCCCCAACCACCUCCUCCAUGGCCGCCCUCCGUCCCGACCACCCCCGCCACCAACCUCCCUGCGGCGCGACCUUCCCUCUGCUCCAUCGCGACCUUCCCUCUGCUCUAGCGCGGCUUGCCCUCUUCUCCGGCGCGUCCUCCACAACCUUCCUUCUCUCUCCACUGCGACGGCAACACAGGGAGCCAUAGCUCGUCACCGCCCGAUUUGUUUUGGUUGUUGCUAUUUUGUUUAAUUUCUUUCGGCUUCUUGCAAGAUCUGUGUGUUGGGGCAAUGAACUUUGCAAAAAUUGUAGUUCACGUCAUGCUUUUGCUUGAACCCGUGCACCACUACUUCCGAAAUCAGCUCUACUCGUUCAAGCUACAGAGCAUUUUCUUCAGGGGAAUGGAGAGCACCCUCACCCUGACCCGAUCUGCAGCGCCGCCCUGAGUCCUCCCAACGCAGCCCCAAGCCGUUCAACUACGCAGCCCCGGGCUGUUCAACGACGGAGCCGCCGGCCGUUCAUGAACGCAACACAACCCUGGAUCCUGCUGCUCAACGUCCAGUUCAACUUCUGCUGAAUCCGGUAAAGGGAGACUUCUUGUGAGAGCAAUUCCCUCUUAAUUUUUUUUCGUUCAAAGUUCUAAUUUGCUAGCUACUUGAGCUUCAGCUAGCCUGUGUAUGUGGCUACCAAGGUGGCAUGCAUUUAGUGCUACUUUGUUUUCGUAUCCACAUGUCGCCAACGGCACUACGAAGAGGAAGGGCCUUGUGAAGUUCAGUUUGUUUCACUUUCUAAAGUUCGGUUUCUUGAUUUUCCGAAGUUCAGUUUGUUGAUUUUCUGAAGAAAAAGGUUGCUUCACUUGCACUCCUCUAUCUGGUCCUGUGUGGUGAUCUCCUCGACUCCUAGGUUAGGCACAAACUGAGAAUUGUAGGCAUCUUUUGAGUUUAAAAUGCUUGAAUCUACAGUACAGGAUUAGAUAACUUCCAGAAGGUCUAUAGUUCAUACCCCGCUGUCAUAGCAGCGAGCAGUCGUAGGUCGUCUGGCGUGCUCUUGGCUUGUUCUGUUGAGAAAAGUUCAGAAAACUAACUGAACUCUUGGCACGGUCUGGCGGUGUUUGGCUGCAUCGGCCACCAGACUGCCAACCUCCACCACCUGACGGCAAGGAGCCAAGGUGGUGAGCUGUUGACGCUGGCACAACACCCCGACGCAAGCGAGUCAAUUGUAGCCAACGCAAGGAGAGAUUAGUAUAGUGGUUUGUAGUGUUCAAAUCCAUACAUGGCGUUUUCUGGUGGAAUUGGUUAACAUGAAGGAGCUACGGGUUAAUACUACAAGCGCUUCACUUAAAUAGUCCUAGUUGUCCACCAACUUUUAGUCAUUCGCUUUUGCAAGAAGUGCUCAUCUUUUUCCUAUUGCAUGACUAGCUUUCAAUGGUGAUGGCUCUGAUUUUUUUGGGAGAUGUAUGAGAACAAAGGUGCAUGUGUGGUAGAAAAAAGAUUUCUUUGUACAUAUAUACUGUGGUCAUUUUGUUCUUUGGACUAUGGAUGUUUAUGACAUUGGAUUGCUCUGGUUUUAUUGAACAUAUAAAAAAUAUUGACACUAGAUUGCUAUGGUUUUAUACACAUUUGUUUGCGUUUAUCCUCUGAAAAAAUUGGCCAUUG